UCUAGGAGCCACCGUGACCCUGCAGUCUGUUCGCGAGGCGACCCGCGGUGUCCUCCGAGUGUCGCCAACGCGUCCCCAGCGGGAGCAGCGGCAUCACCUCCCGAGGCAGCGGCGGAGAAGGAGGAGGAGGUGACGGGGUGACUGUAAUUCCUGCCCGGUCACAUGGGGAAGCCGCGACAGGAACGGGGACCGAGCGCGGGAGCAGCAGCGGAUGUACCGUGGGGACGGGGCGGUGGGGACAGUCCCCAAAGCCCCCAAGGCGCCCAAGGGUGGAGGGGACCCGAGGGGGACACGAGGGGACGAGACCACCCCUGCAGCAGGACCUGCAUUCCAAGGACAGGAGGAGGCGACACAGCGACAGCAGAGCCAGGGCAGUGCUGGGGGCACAGGAUGGGGCAGAAAUUAAGGAAUAUUGUAGGUGCUGUACUUAGGAGGGGUGGAAUGCCUGUGUUCGCCAGGCUGAAACUGCUUUAUUCUGGAGUGAAAGCUGAAUACUGGAUGCUGAAGUAAUUUCAGAGCAGCACAGAAUGUGCUGAGUUGAAAGGGACUCAUCAGGAUCAUUGAGUCCAACUCCUGGCCUGCACAGAACACCACAACAAUUCCACCGUGGGCCUCAGAGCAUUGUCCAAAUGCUUCCUGUCCCAAGACAAACUUGGGGCUGGUACCACUUCCCUGGGGACCCUGUUCCAGUGCUCAACCCCCCUCUAGGUGAAAAACUUUCUCCUGAUAUCCAACCUAUUCUCCCCUGACUCAGCUCCAGCCAUUUCCUUGAGUCCUGUCCCUGCUCAUGAGUGAAGAGAUUGGUGCUGGCCCCUGCACUGCCCCUCAGGAAGAUGUUGAAGAGCUCAGUGAUGUCUGACCUGAGUCUCCUCUUCUCCAGCUGAACAAAUCAACUGUCCUCAGCAGUUUGUCACAGAGCCCCUUGAGACCCUUCCCCAUCCUUGUGACCUCCUCUGGACACUCUGCAAUGGUUUUAUGUCUUUUUUAUAUUGUGGUAUCACUCAAGGUGAGGCCACCCCAGUGCAGAGCAGAGUGUGACAAUCCCCUCCCCGGCCCAGAGGCCAGGAUGCUGGGCCUGCUGCCCCCAGGACAGUGUGGCACUUUGGACUGCCAGGGCACUGCUGACUCAUGUUCAACUUGCCCUUGGCCAGGACUCCCAGGUCCCUCCCUGCAGCUGCCCUGCAGCCCCUCCUUCCCCUGUCCAUACGCCAAGCCAGGGGUGCCCAUCGCAGGGGCAGAAUCUGACCCUCCCCUUGUUAAACUCUGCACUGUUGGUGAUUGCCCAUCUCUAUUUGGGAGGUCUCUCUGCAGAGCUUCUCUGCCCUCCAGGCAGGCGACAUUUUGGUGUCAUCAGUAAAUUUAUUGAUUAUCCCUUCAAGUCCUGUGUUUAUGUUGUUAACAAAGACGUUGGAGAGCCAGGGCUGCCAAUGGAGCCCUGCAGAACCCUCUGGUGACCACUGCCAGAGUGCUGUCACCCCAGUCACUGCCACCCUCAGUGCCUGACCCAUGAGCCGGUUGCACACCCAUUCCACAAUGUGUUUAUCCAGCUGUGUGCUGGACACUUUGUCUAGAAGCAUUCUAGGAGACACAGUAUCAAAAGCUUUGAUGAAAUCCAGAAAGAUUCCAUCUACUGGCUUUCCUGGAUCAACCAAGUGGGUUCCCCUGUCACAGAAGGAAAUCAGAUUUCACAAGCAGGACUUUCCCCUCAUGAAGCCGUGCUGACUCUGGCUCGUGCCUGCAUUGUCCUCCAGGUGUUUUUCAAUACUUCUCAGAACAAAUUUUCCAUGAUUUUAUUGAGUGUCAGAGUGAGACUGACAGGUCUGUAGUGUCUGGGAUCCUCCUUGCCCUUGAAAAUCGGGACAACAUUUGCCAGCUUCCAGUCAGCUGGGACUCCUCAAAUCCCAGAUCUGAACUCUGUGUUUGCUCUGAUUUCUCCAGGGGAAGCAGCCUGCUCACGUCUGAAUGUUUGAGCUUCUAUUCUUCUCAGGAAAACCCACUUUGAGGGCAGUAAUGGUUAAUAGAACAAUUUAAAAUAUUUUCUGAUUACAGGCACAAAGUCAUUGCAGAUAAAACAAUCUCUUUAAAAGCUUUUUAAAGUGGGACUCACAGUGCACAAGUGAACUGUCAUGAAAGGUUUGAAAAAAAAGUCAAUUGUGAAUUUGUCAUGGUUUAGAGAGAGGAAACUGUAGAAGCCUUGCUUAAAUGAGGGCUCAUCUAUGGCACAGUUUGAAGCACCCUCCUUUUCCUCUGAAGGAAAUGUCUUUAUGGGCAUGGUAAGUACUACAUUUAAUGAAAUUACUUAAUUGCGUAGAAUUAGCAAUAAAUGUUAAUGUGACAAUUGAUUGUAUUUCCUUUCAAUAAUUCAGAAAGUCAGUAAAUACCAAUUUGCUGCUUCUCCCCAGCCACUUCUCCUGUCAUUCACAGCAAACAGUGAUAAGCAUUCAGUAGGAAGGUGAUGAGGUGAUGUUUGACCUGGCAGUUGGAAGUGCAGUGAUCUGUGAUCCCAGUGCAUCUGGGUUGGUCCAUCCAUGUCAGAUGAGGUUCUGCAGGGAUCAGAGUUCCCUGGGACCCACCCAAGACUCAUUUCACUUUACAGUGAGUGGUGCAGCUCCUGUCCACACAUCAAGACAUUUUCUGACAUCAGAGCCUGCUUGUCAGGGCUCCCUAACCUGUCUGUAUUUAGCACAAAUUCCCAGCUUCAAGGGAUGUUGAGGAAUGUGUUAUUCCAAAAGGAAUUGUCAUUAGGGGGUAUGUUAGGUUGAAAGAUGUAGCUGGGGUGUGUAUUCUAUUCCCAUGUGUUAGAGGAAGGGCAGUUAUCUUCUAUUAAUUGGGCAGUUUUCUUUAUCUCUUCCACAACCAAUCCUCCCUCCAGGAAAUAUCUUCUGUUCAUGGGCCCUUGAGUCUCACUGCAUGACUGAUAAAAAUUACAGCAUCCCAUUGUGAGAUGCUCCACCCAUAGGGAGGAGCCAAGCAUUCCUGCCUGGAUAUCAUCUGAGAUUUUGGAACAACAGAUCAGCCUUUUCCCCUUGGAUUCCUGCAGGAGCAACUUUCUCCUAUACUGGAUUCCCAAGGAAGUCUGAGCCCAUUUACACCACCACUGGACCUUCAGAGGAAAACUACACCCUUCUACAGGAUCACUGCUUCAACAGAACCACACCUGGCACUGCAGGUGCACUGCAGCCACAUUUAAUAGGACUGCUACCACCACCGUGACCCACAGGGAGUCAGGUCGUGUUCUGACUCUGUCAGAGGAUUUUUUUGUUUGUUUGUACCAUUGCAUUUGUAUUUUUAAUUUUCCUAGAAAAGAACUGUUAUUCGUGCUCCCAUAUCUUUGCCUGAGAGCCUCUUAAUUUCAAAAUUAUAAUAAUUCAGAGGGAGGGGGUUUACAUUUUCCAUUUCAAGGGAGGCUCCUGCCUUCCUUAGCAGACACCUGUCUUUUCAAACCAGGACAGUGGACAUACUGUACUUGUUGUUCUUUGCAAAGCAAAGAUAAGGAGCCUGUCACAUUCUGUUUAAAUUAAACUGUCUGAUUCCACUUAAUGUAUUUUGGUGGCUUGGAAACAGUUUAGUGACAUUUUGUGAGCAUUUUCUUUUUUGUGCAUUUUAGUUUUAUGUUUGAGGAACAUGUUUUCCUGCAGAAAGCAGGCUUUCUUUAUUUGGCUGGAUGUGUGGGAUGUAACUCCACCAAGUACACACUGAUUAUAGAAACUGCUUCUGUUUCUAUACUCUAUUUUAUAUACAUAUUCAUUUAUUUUCCUGGAGUAAACAUACAUAUGAUAACAAUUUUCCCCAAAAUCAUUAAGAUUUUUUUCUCUUCCUUUUAUGCACGGAUUCUUCUGUCCUAGGGGUCUCUUUGGUGGUCUCAGGUAGUUGGCAACCCCAAAGUUAUACUUGAACUGGUAAAAGUUGCCACAACUGGGAUGGUUGCUUUCCAGUUCUUUUUCCUACAGAAUAAGUUCCAUAGACAAAUGGGUUUUUAAAAAUUAGCAUUGUAUUAACCUGAUGCCUUUUCCAGGGCCACCUAAAAACAGAGGCCAUACAAAAUUAAGGGAAUAAAAAGCGGUUGGAUUUAUUGAAGGGCCUUCAGGUGUAUUUCAGGCAGAUGAAGCCCCCCGAGGGGCUACAGCCAAAAAUGUACAGUGGGUCAUGCGUUUUCACACUUUUAUAAGUUCAGUCCAUUUGCAUAUUGGGGGUUAAUCUUCCAAUUACAGCUUCAGGUAAUGAAGUCAUUUACCCCAAGUUUCUUUCCCCCCAACUCACUUUUGUUUACACCUCUUGGGGCCUGAGGCAGUGAGGUGUCCUUGAUUC
Passer domesticus (house sparrow) is the source of this 4308-nucleotide long non-coding RNA. RefSeq lists it as uncharacterized. Lineage: Eukaryota; Metazoa; Chordata; Aves; Passeriformes; Passeridae. The record is from RefSeq and is a predicted model, not a curated record. The transcript has 3 exons.